CAAAAUCUUCCUCCAUUAUUUUCACGCUCCAAAAAACUCUCCCAGUCUACUCUGGUAAAUCUCGUACCCAGCCAUAUCUAACUCCCUAAAUCUCAUUCCCAACCAUAUCUCUCUCCCUAAAUGUCUCAUAUCCACCCUUAAUAUCUUAUACAAGAGCCUAAAUCUCUCAUACCAAGUCAAGCCCUAAUCGCACACAGGAACUACAUCUGAUGUGAG
RNAcentral lists this long non-coding RNA (216 nucleotides) under Panax ginseng (ginseng). RNAcentral describes it as "long non-coding RNA (PGIN_LNC000161)". The record is from RNAcentral. Lineage: Eukaryota; Viridiplantae; Streptophyta; Magnoliopsida; Apiales; Araliaceae.